Molecule: ribosomal RNA, 483 nt
Filed under: uncultured bacterium
Lineage: Bacteria
Description: partial 16S ribosomal RNA
Rfam family: Bacterial small subunit ribosomal RNA
Source: RNAcentral
GACGAACGCUGGCGGCGUGCUUAACACAUGCAAGUCGAACGCUGAAGCUCAGCUUUUGUUGGGUGGAUGAGUGGCGAACGGGUGAGUAACACGUGAGUAACCUGCCUCCUUCUUUGGGAUAACGCCCGGAAACGGGUGCUAAUACUGGAUAUUCACUGGUCUUCGCAUGGGGGUUGGUGGAAAGGGUUUUUCUGGUGGGGGAUGGGCUCGCGGCCUAUCAGCUUGUUGGUGGGGUGAUGGCCUACCAUGGCUUUGACGGGUAGCCGGCCUGAGAGGGUGACCGGUCACAUUGGGACUGAGAUACGGCCCAGACUCCUACGGGAGGCAGCAGUGGGGAAUAUUGCACAAUGGGCGCAAGCCUGAUGCAGCGACGCCGCGUGAGGGAUGGAGGCCUUCGGGUUGUGAACCUCUUUCGCUCAUGGUCAAGCCGCAACAAUGGUUGUGGUGAGGGUAGUGGGUAAAGAAGCGCCGGCUAACUACGUG